UUAUGUUGAAAUAAAAUGAUGAUUUCAUAGUUCAGCUGACAUCAAUGAUGUACUUACAGCUUAUGUCUUUCGCUCCUAUCUGACAAGAUAA
Small nucleolar RNA from Pieris brassicae (large cabbage white), 91 nucleotides. RefSeq annotates it as small nucleolar RNA snR60/Z15/Z230/Z193/J17. The record is from RefSeq and is a predicted model, not a curated record. The transcript has a single exon. NCBI's taxonomy places the organism in Eukaryota, Metazoa, Arthropoda, Insecta, Lepidoptera, Pieridae.